This 160-nucleotide non-coding RNA is filed under the name Blautia luti. Its description in RNAcentral is "Lysine riboswitch". It matches the Rfam family "Lysine riboswitch aptamer". Rfam says of the family: Riboswitches are metabolite binding domains within certain messenger RNAs that serve as precision sensors for their corresponding targets. Allosteric rearrangement of mRNA structure is mediated by ligand binding, and this results in modulation of gene expression. This family includes riboswitches that sense lysine in a number of genes involved in lysine metabolism, including lysC. Lineage: Bacteria; Bacillati; Bacillota; Clostridia; Lachnospirales; Lachnospiraceae. The record is from RNAcentral.
AAAGAUAGAGGCGCGGGAUUCAUCAGUAGAUCGGGGAGCAUGGUAUGACAGCCAUCCGGUGAAAGGGGAAACCGCCGAAGGAACCUGACAGGUCAGGAGGCUGGUUCCUGGGACGUCACAGAAUAUGUGCCGUACUGUCACCUGGGUGAAGCGCUAUCGA